Molecule: long non-coding RNA, 1783 nt
Filed under: Marmota monax (woodchuck)
Lineage: Eukaryota; Metazoa; Chordata; Mammalia; Rodentia; Sciuridae
Source: RNAcentral
CCCUACGCUCGGGCCCACCCUCGGCUCGGCUCCAGGGCGCCCUCUGCUCGUCGUCUCCUCUCCGCCCCGCCUUCCCCCUAUCCAGGCACGCGCGCGCGCGUCCCCAGCCUCGCUCCUGUGCUCGCGGGAGCGCGCGCCUUGUGCUUCCCGCUCCCUCCUCUGCCCAGCGGGCCUUCCGGCUUCGCGGACCAGGGCGGCCAGGUCAGAAUACCUCCCCCUGCUGGCAGGAAAAGCCUUGAGACCCAACUCCCCAAAGUAAGAAGGAGUGUCAGCUAGGACCGGAGAAUCCCGGCUGUACUGCCGGAGCUGGACGAGGUUGUCGGAGGCCAGGCGUGAUGGCCGGGAGCCAGGCGCGGUUGUGGUCUUCGGAGACCUGGACCCUCCGGCUCAAGGAAGACUCUAGGUUCGUGCCCCUGAAGUGGGCAACCUCUGGCCUGAGCGGGACCCGCCUGGCACCGGGAGUUGACUACUAGGACCCGCCCCAGGGACGCUGUACCCCCGGAUUACAUCCCCAGAGCUUUUUAUUUUUUAUUUUGAGACGGUGCCUUGCUAAAUUGCCUAGGCUAUUUCCUAUCUUCCUGCCUCGGCCUCCUGAGCAGCCGGGAUUACAGGCGUGCAUCACCGCGCUGGGACAUUUUCAUUUUAUUUUAUUUGUUUGUCGUACUGGGGAUUGAACCCAGGGGCCCCCUACCGCUAAGCUACAUCUCCAGCCCUUUUUAUUUGGAGACCGGGUUUUGCUGAGUCUGGCCUCAAACUUGUGAUCCUCCUACCUCAGCCUCCAGAGCCUCUGGGAUUACAGGCCCAUGCCGCCACGCCCAGCCACAUUUUCAUUUUUGCGUAAUUUUGGUUUAAGUUUUUUUUUACCUAGUGGUCUGAUAUUUAAUUUACAUUAAACUUUCAUUACACAUGUGUAGUAUGGCCAUUAUAUUACCAGCAUUUUAUGAGAUUACUCAUUCAUACGUCCCAAAGCAGGGGAGGGGGCGGCUUCUGGGAAGGACUCAUUACUCUUACUCAUUUUCCAGAUGAAAGUAUAACCAAUAGUGGUAUCACAGUUUCACAGUGAGGAAACAUUUGCACCAAAUCUCUUUCCUCUAGUCUGAGCAAAAAUAAAUACAUGUGUGUGUAUUUGUAUAAUAACUAUAUAGUAUAUAUAUAUAUAUACAUAUAACAUAUGUAACAUGAUAUUUUGCUUGCUUUUUUUUUUCUCCUUUAGUCUGUCUGAUUCUAAAAUUGAAUGAUUUUUCAGUUCACAUAUCACCAAAAUGUGAGCCACCUAAGCCCUAUCUUCAACCAAGCUUGCAACCUCCUUAAGAAUGAAGGGGGCACUUCCUCUCCCCAUUUGAAAAGUAAAAGGAGCCUCAAGCAUGCAAUCUUAUGUUCUGCUUAAGUAGGUGCUACUAAUAAGAUUUACUCAUCCAGUCAGUAUUUACUGAAUUUUUACUAUCUGCUGAUACUGUAAUGAUGUGCAAAAUCAGUUUCCAUCAUUGAUGACUGAAUGGAUUGCUCAGUCAGUGUUUAUGAGGUUUUGUUUGUUUUUGUUUUGGUAGAAAACAAUUUUCAAAUAGGUAAGUUAUCUAAUUCAGUGCAGUCAUUUAAAAAAUUUUUUUUCUAGUUGUAGGUGGACACAAUACCUUUAUUUUAUUUAUUUUUAUGUGGCGCUGAGGAUCGAACCCAGUGCCUCACACAUGCUAGGCACGCACUCUAUCACUUAGUCACAACCCCAGCCCUGCAUCGACAUUUUUAAAGUACUACACCUAACCAAAAUGACAAGCGUAUUUUGUUU